UACGUAGGGUGCAAGCGUUAUCCGGAUUCACUGGGUUUAAAGGGUGUGUAGGCGGAUAUUUAAGUCAGUGGUGAAAUCUCCGGGCUCAACCCGGAAACUGCCAUUGAUACUAUUUAUCUUGAAUAUCGUUGAGGUUGGCGGAAUAUAUCAUGUAGCGGUGAAAUGCAUAGAUAUGAUAUAGAACACCGAUUGCGAAGGCAGCUAACUAAGCGAUUAUUGACGCUGAGGCACGAAAGCGUGGGGAUCAAACAGG
RNAcentral lists this ribosomal RNA (253 nucleotides) under uncultured bacterium. RNAcentral describes it as "partial 16S ribosomal RNA". It matches the Rfam family "Bacterial small subunit ribosomal RNA", at positions 524 to 776 of the family's 1533-position model. The record is from RNAcentral.